CAAUCGGAAGCACUUGGCAAGAAGCGUCCUGCAAACAAGGACACGGCAGGCCCAUCACAACAGUCUCAAAGUUCUUACCCAAGGAGGAAGAGGAGGAGAAGAAAUAGUUCUAUUGAAUAUCAAGACUAUGACGACAAUGAUGAUGCACAUGAUAGUGACAAACAAUUUGUUCCAGAUGAACAUCACAGAGAAAUCAAGCCAAGGAAGGCGAGAAAUAGGGGUACUGUUGGAGGUUCGCAUAGUCCAUCAACACCACAUUUAAGUGGGGGAUUUUUUGACAAUAAUGUACAACCAAGUAAGGAAGAACAAGGUUUAUCUCCUGUGUUGACUAGUGGAACUAAAAGGCUUUCGUGGGGUAGGGGUGGUGCCCGCAGUAACAAUAGGCAUGGCAAGGUAUAGGAUGUCACGAUUAAAAAUGCCCAACGUAUCCGCUUAGCCAAGUUAGUUGACUUUCUCCACAACAUGGAGGAAAAUGGUGAUGAGUUUGCAGCUUUGCAAAUGGCAUCAAAAGAGGAAAAGUGGGGUUGCAAGAUGUCAAUGAUUCCCACAACCAUAACUCAGUUCUCCAACCAUGUAACGAUAAACAGUCUCAAGUUGUUGAUUUGUUACAAGUCGAAUUGCAUAGAUUGAACAGACAAGAUGCUGCUCCAGGGGUUGCUGUAGCCAGCACCUGCAUUUCAAAUGGCGAACGCUUGAUUCUAUCUUACCCACGAAAGGAAGCCAUGUAAAGUAUAAUUGCUCUUCCUAUGAGUGGACUCACGGCCAAGAGCUUCACCAUACAGGCAAGAACAAGUGAGUUCUAAAUGCCAUGCCCUGGAAUCUGGAUAUAUUGUUAACCAACCGGAAGAGAUACGCCAAUUCGAGAUACCACAUACGUGAAGAAUGCCUGUAGUUUUACAGAUCCUUUCUUUUACACUAUAGUUUAAGUGAUCCUUUACAAAUUACAAUUCUUUUCAUACUGCCGAUUUAUGUAAAUAGACUGGUAUAUUAGGAUAAAUUAAUACCCCUCUUUAGGAAUGGGCAUAAGUUGAUUAUAGAUGCAGGCAAAUAAUUUGUGUUUAUUAAGAAACAGUUCCUAAUUUUCUUUCCUAUCAUAUUAUCAUACAAUCAUACAAAUUUUAUUGGAACGGUUUGGUCCGGUCUAGUCUGGUGUCUUGAUUGGUCUGGUUUGGUCUGAUUUUUCUGUCAAACCAUAUCAAAUCGGAUCGUGUGCAGCCCUAUAUUGAAAAAUUCUAAAGGGCAAGUUUAUAAAUGAUGUACAUUUGUCAUAAUGCUAUUGCUUUUAAAAUUAUAUACUACUAGAUAAUCUCCGUGUGAUGCAUGGUUUUUUUUCAUUUUGAUGUAAAAAACAAAUAAAUUGAAUAAAUCCGGCAUAAUAUUACAUUAAUAU
Amaranthus tricolor (Joseph's coat) is the source of this 1390-nucleotide long non-coding RNA. RefSeq lists it as uncharacterized. The transcript is spliced from 3 exons. The record is from RefSeq and is a predicted model, not a curated record. NCBI's taxonomy places the organism in Eukaryota, Viridiplantae, Streptophyta, Magnoliopsida, Caryophyllales, Amaranthaceae.